GCAAUUGCAUCGCGACACGCCGUUCAUAGCAAUGAAGUACUCACCGCAUCAGGGUAAAUAUCCAAUCUGCACUCCAGUUGCAAAUUUAAUUCUCUGAGGGGCAGUUAGGUCUUUUCUCCUCAAUCCAAUUCAUAAAAACAUGACUUAAAUCAUCAUUUAGGGUAUCAUAUUCCCAAUUUCCCAAAUUUCUCUCUUAAAUAAACCCUAAUCAUCUCCCAAGUUCAUCAAAUUCAAU
RNAcentral lists this long non-coding RNA (235 nucleotides) under Capsicum annuum. RNAcentral's name for it is "long non-coding RNA (CANN_LNC010374)". The record is from RNAcentral. Lineage: Eukaryota; Viridiplantae; Streptophyta; Magnoliopsida; Solanales; Solanaceae.